CCACCACUAAGCCAGUGGUGAACUCCACAUACGCAUCCUUUGCUGAGGAUACGGUUAACGGAGCGAAAGCGACGUUCAACCGCAAAAGAAGCAGAGGGGGCUUAGUGGUGGGGUGACUGCGUACCUUUUGUAUAAUGGGUCAGCGACUUAUAUUCUGUAGCAAGGUUAACCGAAUAGGGGAGCCGCAGGGAAACCGAGUCUUAACUGGGCGUUAAGUUGCAGGGUAUAGACCCGAAACCCGGUGAUCUAGCCAUGGGCAGGUUGAAGGUUGGGUAACACUAACUGGAGGACCGAACCGACUAAUGUUGAAAAAUUAGCGGAUGACCUGUGGCUGGGGGUGAAAGGCCAAUCAAACCGGGAGAUAGCUGGUUCUCCCCGAAAGCU
Molecule: ribosomal RNA, 384 nt
Filed under: Salmonella enterica subsp. enterica serovar Telelkebir
Lineage: Bacteria; Pseudomonadati; Pseudomonadota; Gammaproteobacteria; Enterobacterales; Enterobacteriaceae
Description: partial 23S ribosomal RNA
Rfam family: Bacterial large subunit ribosomal RNA (bases 89-384)
Source: RNAcentral